RNAcentral lists this unclassified non-coding RNA (251 nucleotides) under fungal sp. RNAcentral's name for it is "partial internal transcribed spacer region". The stretch from base 1 to 46 matches the Rfam family "Eukaryotic small subunit ribosomal RNA", at positions 1786 to 1831 of the family's 1831-position model. Lineage: Eukaryota; Fungi. The record is from RNAcentral.
AAGUCGUAACAAGGUUUCCGUAGGUGAACCUGCGGAAGGAUCAUUAACAAAUGUUUCCACACCACUCCACAUCUUGUGAACUGUUAUCAAAUCCCCUGGCGAGUUUGUCUGCCCUGGGUGCUUGUUGGCGGGAUUCCCGCUGGCAUGUACCUGGUGUAGGCGUCUCGUCAUGUUUAUUUACCCAGAUUAUAAUUGACUGAGACUUUAUUGAAAAAUAAAGACAACUUUUAGCAACGGAUCUCUUGGCUCUC